Xiphophorus couchianus (Monterrey platyfish) is the source of this 607-nucleotide long non-coding RNA. RefSeq lists it as uncharacterized. Lineage: Eukaryota; Metazoa; Chordata; Actinopteri; Cyprinodontiformes; Poeciliidae. The record is from RefSeq and is a predicted model, not a curated record. The transcript has 4 exons.
UGCCAUGCUCUUGCAGUCUGAAUGUGUCACAGCUGCUGUUGUGCAGUGACCACUCGCACCUGAUCAUCAUCCUCCUGAUCUCCAGCUGCUGCCAUAUAAGGACGGAACUCUCCCUGCACGGCGUCAGAUUGUUGUGAAACCCUCAGCGCGAUCCCGCUCCUGUCCUUGACCCUCUCUGUUGGAUAAGGACCUCCUGGCUUUGACCCCCCCGGCCUGUCUGACCGGAUCCCCGUUUCGAUCUGGACUCUGGACCCGCGGGCUCGGAUCCCCUGUUUGCCCGGCCCGAAGAUCAGGGGCCGCCUGAUCCUGAUUUGAUUCCCUGGUUCUGACCCUGGCCUGUCUGACUAAGAGUUUGUCGACCUCCUAAUAAAUACCUGGUUGUAUUUUCUGUUCAGUCCCUGUGUCCAUCAGUGCCUGAGCCUGACAGAACAAUCUGACCAAGUAAACUCAUGGACCCGACUGAACAGCAACCCCCCGCCGCCCUGAGGGACGUCAUAAGCCGACAAGGAGUCGUGCUAGGGCAAAGCGUUCAUCGCCUCGCUGGGCUAGAAGCGGCCAGCCAAUCUCUCCAUCAGGAAAUCGCCCAGUUGGCCUCACAGGUAGAAAA